CUACAAAAUCAAAGUUAUUUCACAUUCGUGACUGCUUCGCGACACUUUUACAAAAUUCCAGAUUUCAUUUUUGUUUUAGUAAAGUGAUUUUAAAUAAAAGUAAAAGUAAACAUGAAGAUUGGCCACAUUACUGCGUAUCUAAUGGUUACAAUAAUAUCAACAUUUAUCGCAAUGGUGAUCACUGAACCAAGUCUUAUGGAUGUUGGUCAAUGUCCUGUUGGUAGAAUAAAAGAUCCCGUUACUGGAACGUGCCGCGAACUGGUAGAUUAAAAACAGGUAUACGUACUGAUGGCAAUGCGAUUGCAUUUGGUAUUCAAGUAAUGACGAAUAUUAUAAAUAAUUUUAUGCAUAUAAAGAUUAUAAAUGUAUACAAUCAGAAGUGACAAUGUAUACAAUCAGAAAUGACAAUACAUGUAUUUGAUGCAAUUAUA
Molecule: long non-coding RNA, 431 nt
Organism: Wasmannia auropunctata (little fire ant)
Lineage: Eukaryota; Metazoa; Arthropoda; Insecta; Hymenoptera; Formicidae
Exons: 2
Source: RefSeq, a predicted model, not a curated record